AUGCAACCACACCCAUAUAUGCAUCCUGCUACUUGUAAAAACAUAUUUUACCUUUCACAGACCUCUCCAUCAGACACCAAGGGUCUAUGCUGCAGACCGGGUGCCCCAAAGGCUCUGCAGCCUUCCCCGCUCCCUGGGCUUUGCCUGCCUGUGCUCAAGGCCAGCUCCGAUGCGGCACAGCUGCGUAACUGGGCAAUCACUGGCCUGCUGACUGACCGCUCACUGCCACCAGCCCCGCUGCGUGCUUCUCACCCACGUACUGCGGGAGGGUGCCUCUUCCCAGGGCGGGCGCUGCCCUGCCUGCCUGGCUGCCACCCUCGGCUCCCAGCUCACCUUCCUGGUGGAGCAGCCUGCUCCUGGGGCUCCCCGACCCUGACUGCCAGGCCUGCAGCCCUUGGGAGCCUGCCGUGGGGUAACCAGGGCUCAGGUGUGUCCCUGUCCCAGCUGUCCUUCACCCUUGUGAUGGAGAGGGAACAGAGGGAUGAGUAUCGUGCCUCAAAUACAGAUCAUCUCCCCUUGCUGACCCAUUCCUCCUUCCUUUCCCGUACACCAGGCAUCAGCUGCCAGUUCAUAAGCUCUUGCUUAGUAAAUACCAAAGAUAAGAGGAGAACAUCAAAUAGCAGUCUUUCUCUGAGAAACUMAAACACACCCUUUUCAUUUUCUCAAGCACAGAGUUCACUAAUGCUUCCUGGUAAUUACUGUCAUUACAGCCCUGUGCAUUACCCUAUUCCAGGCACAGAUCAAGCAGCUGUUAGGAAGAGGCACCUGUUCAGCAGACUUUACCGAGCCCUGUCUUUCAGAUGUAAUUAUAUGAAAAAUAGAYGCAUUGUUGGUAGUGUCUGUGCCCAGGAGCGCUCUGAGGCACCGCUCCUGCCAGGUGCCUCGAUUACAGACUGCGGAAAACCUCAGCGGGACACAGUGCAGGGAUGGAGCAGCCCUUUGGUCACUGCCUCCAGGAAUCAGGUUCUUUCAGGAGGGUUUUUUUUUAAAGUGCUUAUUUGGAAACAGUCUUUGUCACAUUCCCAGCUACUACAUCAAAGACUUGGAACCGGAGGGCUGGGUGGGAAUGUUGCAACACACCAGCGUGCCGGGGCUCACUGCUGA
This 1104-nucleotide long non-coding RNA is filed under the name Apteryx haastii (Great spotted kiwi). Its description in RNAcentral is "lncRNA (ENSAHAG00000013145.1)". Lineage: Eukaryota; Metazoa; Chordata; Aves; Apterygiformes; Apterygidae. The record is from RNAcentral.